Molecule: long non-coding RNA, 5194 nt
Filed under: Nicotiana tabacum (common tobacco)
Lineage: Eukaryota; Viridiplantae; Streptophyta; Magnoliopsida; Solanales; Solanaceae
Description: long non-coding RNA (NTAB_LNC017571)
Source: RNAcentral
UUCAGAAUUAAGGGUUAAGCAUUAGCUAGUCUUUCAAAUCUGAAAAAAAUUCUCUUUGCUUUGGUCUGUUGAUUGUUGUUGGUGUUUCUGGAUUUUUAUCUUGAGUUUUAAAAUCCGUCACUGGUUUCUCAUUGCUGGUUGUUGCUGGUUACUGGGUGUCGCUGUUGUUGCAUGCUACUAAAUUUCUGCUAAUCUCCCUUUUCUUUUGCUUCCAAUAUCAGGUACACAACUGACACGCUAGUUAUUGUAAACUGAAACAUGAAGCAUGAAUACGAAAAAUGAAGAGUUGAAGUUCUGAAUUAUAUUCUGAAUUUUAUUUUAAUUAUAUUCUGAAUUUUAUUUGUAUAUAUAAAUUAUUUAGCUUACUCUAAUCAGAAUCAUGUAGUUGUUUAAAAUAUAUAGUGGAACAUCUGACGAUUGCUUAACGGACGAACUAUCUAUAUAUUGCCUAAAAAUAAAUAAAUGGUGUAGUAACUCCGUCUAGUUAAUUCGUUAUUGUUGGAUGAUUACCAUGUCUCAAAAAGCACGUUAGUUCAUCAAACGAAAUGACCAUUUAGGAACUUGUAGGAAUGUGGUUUAGUUAAAUACUAUUGGUUAAUUUCAGCAUGUAAAUGGUUUAGAAUUAAAAUUAGAUUGCUAAUUUUUUUUUAAUUUGACAAACUGUGAACAUGCCUAGUAUAAUGUAACUAGGUAGUAACAUGUGAAUAAGAUGGCACAGGUCUAGUUUAUGCCAUACACGUUGAGCCUGGGCCCGCAUUGGCAACGGACUACCCUGCUUGCAUUAUUUUCAAAAUUUAUGAAUCAUAUUCGAAACCCAAUUAUAACAACUCAGGCAUUUAAAUAAAUUAAGACCUUUUCUCUUUCAUUUUGUAGAGACAAUUUCAAUAGAAAAAAUGUAGGCACUUUAGGAUUAUCCUUUUAAAAUAAAUGAGAUGAGUCUCGCCCAAUAAAACCCACAAAUUACGGGGGCCUCGAUAAAUGUUUAAUUAAAAUUACUUAGACUUCGGGAUGAGUCGUUUAGCAAAAUUCCACGAUCUUACCCAGAAAUAAUAAUACGCUAAUCGCUUUAGGCGUGCAUUUUAAUAAUCUUACCUUCUUAAACUCGGGUGUGCAUUUCAUGCGACCCAAAUCCAAAUCCCAAAACAUUGAAUAAAAAUACGUUCCGGAUCGCGGGUGCAUUUCAUGUGACGCAAUCCAAAGACAUGUUUUUAAACGAUGUUCACAUUCUUUUAAAAAUAUAAUAAUAAAAGCGGUAAAGAGUUAAAAAUUUGCACAUGAACUCAUAAUUGUAUAAAAUCAGAUAAACAAACCGAAUAUGACAGUUGAGCGACCGUGCUAGAACCACGGAACUCGGGAAUGCCUAACACCUUCUCCCGGGUUAACAGAAUUCUUUAUCCAGAUUUCUGGUUCGCAAACUAUAAUACAGAGUCAUUAUUUUCCUCGAUACGAGAUUAAAUUGGUGACUUGGGACACCUUAAACCUCCCUAGUGGCGACUCUGAAUAAAUAAAUAAAUCCCGUUUCGAUUGUCCUUUAAUUGAAAAAACUCCUUCACCCCUUGCGGGGACGGAAAAAGGAGGUGUGACAUUAGAUUUUAUAAAUUGUAAUCUAAGAGAGCAAAAAGCAAGAUAAAAGGGAAUAAGGAAAAGUGGCAACGUAAAUCCCCCUUUACUUCUUUUAUCUUUAUCUUACAUGAAAUUGAUGCUUAUGAUUUGCUAAACUGUUGGUUUGGACUGGUUAAAAACUGUGUUGAAGGUGUCGAGAUGUAGAACGGAAACUUGGGAAUGAAUGGAAGGUAGUUGGGAUGGUGUGAACAGCUGAAGCAAUGUGUUAAUUGUUGCCUUAACGUUGUUUGCUUGCCAGGUCUGGUGACAGCAAGCUUAAUCGCGAUCACAGGGCAUUGGCCGCGAUGCGGCCAAGCAUGAUUCUCUGGAGCAGUGUUUCAAGUACAAAAAGAUAAUGUGAAUUGCAAGAGGUUAGUCGAGCCUAGAUUAGAAUAACACGAACCUCGAUUGCAACACAUGCACCACAAUUGUGAUUGACCUUCACUCUUUGACCCCAGACGUAGCUAACAGUUUCAUCUAUUCCAAAUAUGCUUAUCAGAUCUGAAAUGAACUUAACUAACGAUAUGGUUAGUCAAAUGAGGGCAUGAACUUAUCCAGUUCAAAAAGGAACUCAGUAUGCUAUCUGAGGGAUCCUGUGAUAUUGAACUUAUUAAGUUGUGGGAUGAGUUAGACUCUCUUAACAAUAAUUCUUAUUGCAGCUGUGAUUGUCAAUAUGAUGGAAAGGUAAAAAUGAUUAAGGACAAGGAAACUCUGAAACUUAAUCAGUUCUUAAUUGGCCUUAAUGACUCUUAUAGUGGUACCAUAAGAAACAUAACUAUGAUGAAACCUACACCUAACAUCGGUCAAACUUGUUCUCUCCUACUUCAAGAUGAAAAAUCUGAAUCCAGACUCUUUCACACCAUGUUCCUGAAUCAGCUUCUUUCUCUGCUGGUUCCUCAUCAGAAGGGCAGACAAAUCCUCCCAAAACAAAUUUCUCUGGUCCUAAAGAAGUCUAUUACUGCAAAAAACCAGGCCAUACCAUUGAUAAAUACAAUAGAUUCCAUGGUUUGAGAAUGAUUCCUUAGGGGUCGUUUGGUAAGCAGGAUAAGGUGGGAUAAGAUAUGAGAUUAAAUUAUACUGUGUUUGGUUGACGGUAUAAAUUUAUCCCGGGAUCCCUUAGUGUUUAAGAAUUUUCACAAAGUUGGUAAAUUAAUUGAGAUAUGGUGGGAUGAACAAGUCAUGGAUAGUAAAUGUACUCAACACUUCGUAAAAUGUUAAAUUUAAUUUAGAGUUAUGGGAAGAAGAUUGGAGAUUAAAUUUGGAGUAAACAAGUGCUACUUGACUAUCCGUUUUUGGAUCCAACACUGGUAUCUCUUCCUAAUUAGUAUCCAAGUCUAAUCUAAAUACUUUAUCAUGUGAUUAAGUGCUCAAUUGGAGCAUGCCUUUGUUUGAGUGUCUAAAUGAUAUAUGUACGAGCAAAUUCAAGGGGAUGUUAAUGUAUUUUGCCUUCUCUGGAGGAAUAUAUGGAUAAUCGUUCAAGUUAGUACUCCCUCUGUUUCAAUUUAGAUGACACACUUUCCUUAUUAGUCCGCUCCAAAAAAAUGAUACAUUUCUACACUUUCUUUAUUAGUCCAUUCCAUGAUAGUUCAAUUUUAGUAAGAAUUAUCUAUUUAAAAACUCAGUGAACUCCUUUACGAUUUCCUAUUUUCGAAUGUGUUCGCUUGCUGGUACUCUACUCGAUUUUCCAUCUCUCUUGUCAUCUCCGCUAACUUUUAUGAGUCACCGUCUAUUGAUUAAUUGUGACACCACUUAUGAGAAAUUCUGUGUACGUACUACCUGCAUUUUUGUAAGAGGUUGUUUCCACUGCUUUGAGCUCCUGAUCACAUAGAGACAACUUUACAAGUUAUGUCAAGGCUCCCACUAUGGGCGGGGUUCAGGGAAGAGCGGGACCACAAAGGUCUAUUGUACGUAGUCUUACACAACACUUUUGCAAGAAGUUGUUUCCACUAGUCGAAUCGGUGACCUCUUGGUCAAAUGGCAUCAACUUUACCAGUUACAUCAAGGCUCCCGCUAUGCGACGGAUCCGAGAAAGGGCGGGAUCACAAGGUCUAUUGUUGACAGUCUUACCCUACAUUUUUUGCUAGAGGCGAUUUUCAAUAUUUGAAUCUGUGACCUUUUGGUCAUGUGUCAGCAACUUUACUAGUUACGCUAAGGCUCCCCUCCUUAAUAUUUUGAUUUAAUAUGUAUAAAUAUUGUAUGACGUACCGAUGAGUUGUUUGCUUCCCCUUUCUCUUUUUCUCCUCCAUUUUCUUUUCCUCUUUCCAUGUAUGCAAUUUUCACUAGUCAAGCCAAAGUUCAAGUUUUCAUGUCUGAUGUAUAAAAGGUAGACAAACCUUUAUUAGGAGAAGUAGAAAAACAAGAACAGAAGAAACUGAAGAAAGAAGCAUAAAGCAUAUAGCAGGAAAUAAUUUACUGCAGAUAUAGCCAGAGGGAUUCAGAAAGAAAGAUCUGUGAGAGAGAAGUAAAACUGGUUGGAUAAAGACAAAUUGAAAGGCUAACAUUAAAAAAGAAGAAUCAAAUAAAGAUAACUUUUCCUAAAUAUUGAACAAAUGACAACCACAACUGAGCAUACUCAUCGAAUAUGCUUAUUUUCUAAUGAAACCAUAUUCAUAUCCCUUUGAUUCCAAGAAAAAAUAGAAAGCUUAACAGCUAGUUAUUUACAGUUAACUAAAUAGAAAGCAGUUCUCGUAAGCAAACCAGUCAAAAGGAAACAAAUGCAGUCAAACAAAAUAAUUCAAAAAAAAAACAUGACACAAGAUCUGGAAAUUAGAAAGAUAAGUAAAGUUAGAACAUGACCUCUUUAAACUUCAACCUUUCCUCAUCCAAAAAACUUGACUUUUAACAACUUGAACAAGCAGAAACGGACAAGACCAUGAACCAGCCCUCAGACGGAGUAUCGAAACUCGCCGGCAAACUCGAAAACGGACAGAACGUCAACUGUGUUAGAACGGGGCAGAAGCAGGCUGUCUAGGUUGACUUUGGUGGUCGUUUCAGCUCGUUUUCCGGUGAGCUUCUAUGAACGAAAAGAAGCAGAAACAGCGAUGGGUGAAGGGGAGCAGGCUACCGUGACUGCGACGGGGAGGGACUGCUGAAGAUGUUGGAGAACAGGGGUGGUUUCCUUUAGUGAAGACGACUGAUUUCCAGCUCUUUUCUAGGUCUCUUAGGCUUGUUUUUUUGUUCCGUUUUUUUCUGAUUUGGGGACCAAAGAAGAUCGAAAAUGAUGGUCCUCUUAUUUUUUAGUUUUUCUAUCUAUCUUUCAUGUAUGUUGCCGCUGAUUUUAGGUCCCAAGAGUUCCUUUUGCUUGUAUUCUUUUUCUUCAUUCACCAGAUCAAGGAGAUCGUUUGGGAUGGGUUCUUCAUUUUCUGAAAACGGCGCUGCCUUCUUCAGCUGCUCUCCCCUUAGGCGUUAGUCUAGGUCCCGAUAUUUGUAGUCUAGGUUUAGGUUAUUUAUUUUGCUCUUAGGUCUUUAGUUCCGUUUUAUUUAUCUUUUGUUCCUAAGAAGAGAUUAGAAGGGUCCUUAGGAUUAGCUUAAUAGGUAUUGGGUAUUGGGUUUAAGGAAUGAGUCAAGAAUUGGGCUCUAAAACUCUUAAAAU